Long non-coding RNA from Felis catus (domestic cat), 1425 nucleotides. RefSeq lists it as uncharacterized. The record is from RefSeq and is a predicted model, not a curated record. The transcript has 3 exons. Lineage: Eukaryota; Metazoa; Chordata; Mammalia; Carnivora; Felidae.
CAAUUUUUAACUUUUUGAAGAAUUUCCAUACUGUUUUCCAUAAUGGCUGUACCAUUUUAUAUUCUCAGUAGUCUCCACAUCCACAGUCUUGCUGAAACUUGCUACUCUUGUAUUUUUGACAAUAGCCAUCCUGAGAGAAUAGAGAGCCCAGACAUAAACCUAUGCAUAUACCAUCAACUGAUGUUUUCAAGCAUACCAAGAAUAUGCAAUGAGAAGAAAGUUUAUUCAAUAAAUGUUGGGAAAUCUGGAUAUCCACAUGCAAAGGAAUGAAAUUUGACCCUUAUCUUAUACCUCUCAUGAAAAUUAACUUGAAAUGGAUCAAAGACUUAAAGCCUGCUUUACCCCAAAUUCUAGCCCCAAGGGGAGAAACAAAAAUUGACAGUACAGGAGAUUCCCAAGAGAUGAAGCUUGCUGAAGGGACAGACAGUAGACCACACAAAAGGAGGACUGUUGAGCUGCUUGAAGGGGCUUACUCGGUCUGUUUACAAGAAGAGCACGCAUCCUGAUUGUAAUAAGUGAGCUUGGAGGGCUAGACAGGCUCUUUAAUCUCAGAAAUGACACUGUGAACUCCAGUUCACCUGCUCGAUUUAUUUACAUUGCUUUUGCCCGCUAACAAAUCCAACUCUCCAUCAGAUUAAUCAACAUUUAUCAGCCAGCGGCGGGAGCAUCAUUUCAUAACGUAAGUAAAAUAGAGAGGGAGUGAAAUGGAAUAGAGAGAGAAUAAAACUCCCAUUACUCUGUGGCUAUUUUAUUCUCUAUGUAUUUUAUUCACAUAAUGAAUGAUGUACUUCUGGCUUUAACAGCAUAGCAACCCAGGGUUCUGUUUGUUUAAUGUUUUCCCGCCAGGGACUGUGCAAUUCAAUAGCAUAUGCACAGCAGGAUAAAGGAGGAAGAUGGUCAAGUCUGAGUUUUGAGGUUUAAGACUGCUCAAAUAUACCAAAGGUGGGUUAACACCAAGUUGUCCAGAGUCUUGUGUUAGUUCAAAUGAAUUGCCACCAAUCAACAAAAUAAUUUGUCCAUGUGGUGUUUCAUUGGCCUUUAUUGCAAAUGAACCAUUCAUUUAUUCAGCCAUUUAAAUAAUCCAGCACCAACCGUGUACCAGAAAUUGUUCUGGGUGCUAAUGAUGUAGCAGUGAAUAGAACAAAGUUCCUGUGCCCAUGGAGUUUAUACUUAAGGGGGAUUAUAAACGAUAACAAAUAAAUAUAUAAUAAAAUUUCAUGUAGUAAUACAUUUUACCAUGACAAAUAAACCAGGCUAUGGGACCAGAAACAAAGAGUGUUACUUCGGAUAGGGUAGCCUAAAAGGCUGUGCAGAGGUGAUAUUGCAGCAGAAAUCUGAAGGAAGUCAAAGAACUAGGCAUUUGAGUAUCUGAGUGAACUGCAUCCAGAUAGAAGGGAAAAGAAGGAACAUGGAGAAACUGGGAGG